This 301-nucleotide ribosomal RNA is filed under the name uncultured bacterium. RNAcentral's name for it is "partial 16S ribosomal RNA". It matches the Rfam family "Bacterial small subunit ribosomal RNA", at positions 509 to 807 of the family's 1533-position model. The record is from RNAcentral.
CAGUCGCCGCGGGAAUACGAAGGGGGCUAGCGUUGCUCGGAAUUACUGGGCGUAAAGGGAGCGUAGGCGGGUCGUUUAGUCAGAGGUGAAAUCCCGGGGCUCAACCUCGGAACUGCCUUUGAUACUGGCGACCUUGAGUAUGGGAGAGGUGAGUGGAACUCCGAGUGUAGAGGUGAAAUUCGUAGAUAUUCGGAAGAACACCAGUGGCGAAAGCGACUCACUGGCCCAUUACUGACGCUGAGGCUCGAAAGCGUGGGGAGCAAACAGGAUUAGAUACCCGUGUAGUCCCUGUCUCUUAUAC